This 253-nucleotide ribosomal RNA is filed under the name uncultured bacterium. RNAcentral's name for it is "partial 16S ribosomal RNA". It matches the Rfam family "Bacterial small subunit ribosomal RNA", at positions 524 to 776 of the family's 1533-position model. The record is from RNAcentral.
UACGUAGGGGGCAAGCGUUGUCCGGAUUUAUUGGGCGUAAAGAGCGUGUAGGCGGCCAAGUAGGUCCGUUGUGAAAACUCGAGGCUCAACCUCGAGACGCCGAUGGAAACCAUUUGGCUAGAGUCCGGAAGAGGAGAGUGGAAUUCCUGGUGUAGCGGUGAAAUGCGCAGAUAUCAGGAAGAACACCCGUGGCUAAGGCGGCUCUCUAGUACGGUACUGACGCUGAGACGCGAAAGCGUGGGGAGCGAACAGG